This 69-nucleotide ribosomal RNA is filed under the name Chromobacterium haemolyticum. The record is from RNAcentral. Lineage: Bacteria; Pseudomonadati; Pseudomonadota; Betaproteobacteria; Neisseriales; Chromobacteriaceae.
UCUGGUGGCCAUAGCGAGGUGGUCCCACGCCUUCCCAUCCCGAACAGGACCGUGAAACGCCUUAGCGCC